CAGACCUUCUGGCACUUUCCCUGCUCAGGUUCUUCUGUGCUCCAGAGUGGCACCUGUUGGCAGUUCUGCUCCCGUGUGUCACACGCCCACACUCGGAGGGGAGGAGAGUCACUGGCUGGCUUCAUCAAGACGGAGCGUGGUGAGGCUUGGGAUAAAACACAAGUGAGGGAGGGCAGAGGGUGUCUCCCGUGCAUGGAAAAGUGGCCUGCAAACAUUUAUCCACAGAGACAUAGACAUUAGUGCACUGAGCACUGAUCAGAGAUGGGGUCAGAAGAUGCUGGUGCCUGGAAGCCUUGGUGAGCUGCUCCAUCCUUCAGAGACAGACACAGAAGAGGGUUUUAUGGCCGCGCUUGUCAGCGACUGUGUCGUGGUGUCAGCAUCUGGGAGUGAAGGGGACGGCUUGCAUCAUUUCUUCCCCGGGGAGGCGAGUUUGUUACUUGAAAAUCAACCAAGAUGGCAUCGGCUCAGGCAGUGGCCCUGUGAUUCACUAUCGAAUGGUUUGCUGGUUUCCAUUGUCUUUUCCCCCUGCAAUUAGCUUUCUUGAGCCAGAGAGUGAUUCUCCGCCUCUGGUGAUCGAGCAAUAUUUGCUGGGCUGGAGGAGAGGACAUCCACAUCUUCUGAUUUUCUAGCAGAGGCAUUCAGUCAGUGAAGCCUGAGAGCUCGCGCGAUCCCCGCGUGCGGGUCCACGCGCAUCCUUUGAUCUGCGGUAGAAUGUAGUAUGGUUGUUACUUAAGGAAGCAAAAAGCCCUCCCCAGGUACGUUUAGGGAAUGUGGGAGAAUACGUGACAUACCAAACAGAGGAUUGCUACUCAUCACACCUCGCACUGUCCGUGGCGAGGAAUUUGGCAGAAAAUCAGCAAUAGAAUGGCGAUAUGGAAGUAUAAUCUGCAGAAACAUACCCAGGACCGACAGAGCACAGUAAAGUCCAGAAAACUUGCAUGUACGUAUGAGAGUUGAGUGUAGGCAACAGCCUCUCUUGUUUAAUAAAAUCUCAGACGUUUAUAAUAAAAAGCA
Molecule: long non-coding RNA, 1014 nt
Filed under: Ursus maritimus (polar bear)
Lineage: Eukaryota; Metazoa; Chordata; Mammalia; Carnivora; Ursidae
Description: lncRNA (ENSUMAG00000022577.1)
Source: RNAcentral